This 216-nucleotide ribosomal RNA is filed under the name Glomeromycotina sp. RNAcentral's name for it is "partial small subunit ribosomal RNA". The stretch from base 40 to 216 matches the Rfam family "Eukaryotic small subunit ribosomal RNA", at positions 686 to 864 of the family's 1831-position model. Lineage: Eukaryota; Fungi; Glomeromycota. The record is from RNAcentral.
GGGUCAGUAGGUUGGUCGUGCCACCGGUACGUACUGGUCUCACUGAUUCCUCCUUCCUGAAGAGCCGUAAUGCCAUUAAUUUGGUGUUGCGGGGAAACAGGACUGUUACUUUGAAAAAAUUAGAGUGUUUAAGGCAAGCUAACGCUUGAAUACAUUAGCAUGGAAUAAUGAAAUAGGACGAUCGAUCCUAUUUUAUUGGUUUCUAGGAUUGACGUA